This 314-nucleotide ribosomal RNA is filed under the name uncultured bacterium. RNAcentral describes it as "bacterial SSU rRNA". It matches the Rfam family "Bacterial small subunit ribosomal RNA", at positions 28 to 334 of the family's 1533-position model. The record is from RNAcentral.
GAUGAACGCUAGCGACAGGCUUAACACAUGCAAGUCGAGGGGCAGCAUGAGCUUAGCUUGCUAAGUUUGACGGCGACCGGCGCACGGGUGAGUAACGCGUAUGCAACUUACCGAUAACUCGGGGAUAGCCUUUCGAAAGAAAGAUUAAUACCCGAUAGCAUAGUAUUUCCGCAUGGUUUCACUAUUAAAGAACUUCGGUUAUCGAUGGGGAUGCGUUCCAUUAGAUAGUUGGCGGGGUAACGGCCCACCAAGUCAACGAUGGAUAGGGGUUCUGAGAGGAAGGUCCCCCACAUUGGAACUGAGACACGGUCCAA